UAGGGCACUCUAUGGAGACUGCCGGUGUCAAACCGGAGGAAGGUGGGGAUGACGUCAAGUCCUCAUGGCCCUUAUGACCAGGGCUACACACGUGCUACAAUGGCCGGUACAAAGAGUUGCGAUACCGCGAGGUGGAGCUAAUCUCAUAAAGCCGGUCUCAGUUCGGAUUGGAGUCUGCAACUCGACUCCAUGAAGUUGGAAUCGCUAGUAAUCGCGGAUCAGCACGCCGCGGUGAAUACGUUCCCGGGCCUU
Molecule: ribosomal RNA, 252 nt
Filed under: uncultured Geobacter sp.
Lineage: Bacteria; Pseudomonadati; Thermodesulfobacteriota; Desulfuromonadia; Geobacterales; Geobacteraceae
Description: partial 16S ribosomal RNA
Rfam family: Bacterial small subunit ribosomal RNA
Source: RNAcentral